Molecule: ribosomal RNA, 504 nt
Filed under: uncultured bacterium
Lineage: Bacteria
Description: bacterial SSU rRNA
Rfam family: Bacterial small subunit ribosomal RNA
Source: RNAcentral
AGAACGAACGCUGGCGGCGCGUCUAAGCAUGCAAGUCGAACGGCAAGAGGUAGCAAUACCUCCUAGAGUGGCGGACUGGUGAGUAACACGUGGGUGACAUACCCUUCAGAUGGGGAUAGCUAUUAGAAAUAGUAGAUAAUACCGAAUACGAGCACAGGGGUUAGAGAUCUGUGAGGAAAGGAGCUAAGGCUCCGCUGAAGGAAUGGCCUGCGGCCCAUUAGCUAGUUGGUGAGGUAAGAGCCCACCAAGGCGAUGAUGGGUAUCCGGCCUUAGAGGGUGAACGGACACAUUGGGACUGAGAUACGGCCCAGACUCCUACGGGAGGCAGCAGCUAAGAAUAUUCCGCAAUGGACGAAGGUCUGACGGAGCGACGCCGCGUUGGAUGAAGAAGGCCGGAAGGUUGUAAAAAUCCUUUUGAAACUGAAGAAUAAGCGUUGUAGGGAAUGACAGCGUGGUGACAGUAGGUUUUGAAUAAGCAACGGCUAAUUACGUGCCAGCCGCUGC